This is a non-coding RNA of Triticum urartu, 124 nucleotides long. Lineage: Eukaryota; Viridiplantae; Streptophyta; Magnoliopsida; Poales; Poaceae. The record is from Rfam.
AAAGUACUCCCUCCGUCCCAAAAUUCUUGUCUUAGAUUUGUCUAGAUACAGAUGUAUCUAAUAAUUGAUACAACUGUAUCUAGACAAAUCUAAGACAAGAAGUUUGGGACAAAGGGAGUAGUUG